RNAcentral lists this ribosomal RNA (508 nucleotides) under uncultured bacterium. RNAcentral describes it as "partial 16S ribosomal RNA". It matches the Rfam family "Bacterial small subunit ribosomal RNA", at positions 28 to 507 of the family's 1533-position model. The record is from RNAcentral.
GACGAACGCUGGCGGCGUGCCUAAUACAUGCAAGUCGAACGCUUCUUUCCUCCCGAGUGCUUGCACUCAAUUGGAAAGAGGAGUGGCGGACGGGUGAGUAACACGUGGGUAACCUACCCAUCAGAGGGGGAUAACACUUGGAAACAGGUGCUAAUACCGCAUAACAGUUUAUGCCGCAUGGCAUAAGAGUGAAAGGCGCUUUCGGGUGUCGCUGAUGGAUGGACCCGCGGUGCAUUAGCUAGUUGGUGAGGUAACGGCUCACCAAGGCCACGAUGCAUAGCCGACCUGAGAGGGUGAUCGGCCACACUGGGACUGAGACACGGCCCAGACUCCUACGGGAGGCAGCAGUAGGGAAUCUUCGGCAAUGGACGAAAGUCUGACCGAGCAACGCCGCGUGAGUGAAGAAGGUUUUCGGAUCGUAAAACUCUGUUGUUAGCGAAGAACAAGGACGUUAGUAACUGAACGUCCCCUGACGGUAUCUAACCAGAAAGCCACGGCUAACUACGUG